Long non-coding RNA from Pantherophis guttatus, 523 nucleotides. RefSeq lists it as uncharacterized. The record is from RefSeq and is a predicted model, not a curated record. NCBI's taxonomy places the organism in Eukaryota, Metazoa, Chordata, Lepidosauria, Squamata, Colubridae.
UGGAAGUCGCUCCUGGGCUGUGUAAUCCCCGGCGAAGAAUGGCUGGAGGCUCGGGAUCGAAGCGGUCGUAAGUCAAGGACUUUCGAGGAUCGGUGGUGCGGCGGCGGCAGCGAUGGCUGGUCCUGAUCCGGAUGUGCUAGCCCCUGGUCUGUUGGAAAAGCCUGGCGGAGGUCGCGGAGCAGAUACACUUCUGGAAUGCAACAUGGACUCCUGGACAAAACCUUAUAUACCUGGGAGGCGGGGUCAAGGUAAGACUGGCACUGGGGACAGUGAAGCGACAGGCACAAAUGUAACUGCAGUUGAGAGGCAAAAAAGCUUCAGUUCUUAAAUUCACAGUCAACAUACCCUCAGUUAAGGCACAGAAAUGCUAUUUUUAAAAACAAGAAACAUUCCUGUAAAGUAAGCUCAUUACAAUGCAUUUUUAUGCUAGUUAGACAUGGAAUUUUUAAUUAUGUAAAACUAAACUUUUGAAUCCUAUAGCUGUUUUUUAAAACAAGCUCUGCUGGGGGUAUGAAUGGGAGAA